AACGAACGCUGGCGGCGUGCCUAACACAUGCAAGUCGAGCGAGAAAGCCCGCAAGGGUGAGUAAAGCGGCGCACGGGUGCGUAACACGUGGGUAAUCUGCCCUAGAGUCCGGAAUAACUCGCCGAAAGGCGUGCUAAUGCCGGAUGAGACCACGGGAGCCUCGGCUCUCGCGGGAAAAGGUGGCCUCUGUACACAAGCUAUCGCUCUAGGAUGAGCCCGCGGCCCAUCAGCUCGUUGGCGGGGUAAUGGCCCACCAAGGCUACGACGGGUAGCUGGUCUGAGAGGACGAUCAGCCACACUGGAACUGAGACACGGUCCAGACUCCUACGGGAGGCAGCAGUGGGGAAUCUUGCGCAAUGGGCGAAAGCCUGACGCAGCAACGCCGCGUGUGUGAUGAAGGUCUUCGGAUCGUAAAGCACUGUCGCGAGGGACGAAUAAGGGUCGGGCUAACAUCCCGGUCCGAUGACGGUACCUCGAGAGGAAGCACCGGCUAACUCUGUGCCAGCAGCCGCGGUAAUACAGAGGGUGCAAGCGUUGUUCGGAAUUAUUGGGCGUAAAGCGCGUGUAGGCGGCUUAGUAAGUUGGGUGUGAAAGCCCUCGGCUUAACCGAGGAAGUGCGCCCAAAACUGCUUGGCUUGAGUACCGGAGAGGGUGGCGGAAUUCCCGGUGUAGAGGUGAAAUUCGUAGAUAUCGGGAGGAACACCAGUGGCGAAGGCGGCCACCUGGACGGUCACUGACGCUGAGACGCGAAAGCGUGGGGAGCAAACAGGAUUAGAUACCCUGGUAGUCCACGCUGUAAACGAUGAGCGCUAGGUGUUGUGGGUGUUGACCCCCGCAGUGCCGCAGCUAACGCAUUAAGCGCUCCGCCUGGGAAGUACGACCGCAAGGCUAA
Molecule: ribosomal RNA, 892 nt
Filed under: uncultured Anaeromyxobacter sp.
Lineage: Bacteria; Pseudomonadati; Myxococcota; Myxococcia; Myxococcales; Anaeromyxobacteraceae
Description: bacterial SSU rRNA
Rfam family: Bacterial small subunit ribosomal RNA
Source: RNAcentral